GAUGAAGAACGCAGCGAAAUGCGAUAAGUAAUGUGAAUUGUAGAAUUCAGUGAAUCAUCGAAUCUUUGAACGCACAUUGCGCCCCUUGGUAUUCCGAGGGGCAUGCCUGUUCGAGCGUCAUUAUAACCCCUCAAGCUCAGCUUGGUGUUGGGGCCUGCUGCACUGGCAGCCCUUAAAAUCAGUGGCGGCGCCAUCUGGCUCUAAGCGUAGUAAUUCUUCUCGCUAUGGAGUCCUGGUGGAUGCUUGCCAUCAACCCCCAAUUUUUCUAUGGUUGACCUCGGAUCAGGUAGGGAUACCCGCUGAACUUAAGCAUAUCAAUAAGCGGAGGA
RNAcentral lists this unclassified non-coding RNA (329 nucleotides) under soil metagenome. RNAcentral's name for it is "partial contains 5.8S ribosomal RNA, internal transcribed spacer 2, and large subunit ribosomal RNA". The stretch from base 1 to 120 matches the Rfam family "5.8S ribosomal RNA", at positions 35 to 154 of the family's 154-position model. The record is from RNAcentral.